RNAcentral lists this ribosomal RNA (458 nucleotides) under uncultured bacterium. Its description in RNAcentral is "partial 16S ribosomal RNA". It matches the Rfam family "Bacterial small subunit ribosomal RNA", at positions 355 to 831 of the family's 1533-position model. The record is from RNAcentral.
UGGGGAAUAUUGGACAAUGGGGGCAACCCUGAUCCAGCAAUGCCGCGUGUGUGAAGAAGGUCUUCGGAUUGUAAAGCACUUUCGACGGGGACGAUGAUGACGGUACCCGUAGAAGAAGCCCCGGCUAACUUCGUGCCAGCAGCCGCGGUAAUACGAGGGGGCUAGCGUUGCUCGGAAUGACUGGGCGUAAAGGGCGUGUAGGCGGUUUACACAGUCAGAUGUGAAAUCCCCGGGCUUAACCUGGGAGCUGCAUUUGAUACGUGUAGACUAGAGUGUGAGAGAGGGUUGUGGAAUUCCCAGUGUAGAGGUGAAAUUCGUAGAUAUUGGGAAGAACACCGGUGGCGAAGGCGGCAACCUGGCUCAUGACUGACGCUGAGGCGCGAAAGCGUGGGGAGCAAACAGGAUUAGAUACCCUGGUAGUCCACGCUGUAAACGAUGUGUGCUAGAUGUUGGGUACU